RNAcentral lists this ribosomal RNA (1449 nucleotides) under uncultured Bordetella sp. RNAcentral's name for it is "partial 16S-23S ribosomal RNA intergenic spacer". It matches the Rfam family "Bacterial small subunit ribosomal RNA". The record is from RNAcentral. Lineage: Bacteria; Pseudomonadati; Pseudomonadota; Betaproteobacteria; Burkholderiales; Alcaligenaceae.
AGUUCGAUCCUGGCUCAGAUUGAACGCUGGCGGGAUGCUUUACACAUGCAAGUCGAACGGCAGCACGGACUUCGGUCUGGUGGCGAGUGGCGAACGGGUGAGUAAUGUAUCGGAACGUGCCUAGUAGCGGGGAUAACUACGCGAAAGCGUGCAGCUAAUACCGCAUGAUACUCUUCGGGGGAAAGCGGGGGGACCUUCGGGCCUCGCACUAUUAGAGCGGCCGAUAUCGGAUUAGCUAGUUGGUGGGGUAACGGCUCACCAAGGCGACGAUCCGUAGCUGGUUUGAGAGGACGACCAGCCACACUGGGACUGAGACACGGCCCAGACUCCUACGGGAGGCAGCAGUGGGGAAUUUGGACAAUGGGAACCUGAUCCAGCCAUCCUGCGUGUGAUACGGCCUUUCGGGUUGUAAAGAAUUUUUGCAGAGAAGAACAGUACGGGAUAAUACCCCGUGCAACUGACGGUACUCAGUAGAAUAAGCACCGGCUAACUACGUGCCAAGCAGCCGCGGUAAUACGUAGGGUGCAAGCGUUAACGAACUACAUUGGCGUAAAAGCGCGCAGGCGGUUCAAAAGAAAGAUGGAACCCGAGCUUAACUUUGGAACUGCAUUUUUAACUACCGAGCUAGAGUGUGUCAGAGGGAGGUGGAAUUCGCGUGUAGCAGUGAAAUGCGCAGAUACGCGGAGGAACACUGAUGGCGAAGGCAGCCUCCUGGGAUAACACUGACGCUCAGCGAACAAAGCGUGGGGAGCAAACAGGAUUAGAUACCCUGGUAGUUCCACGCCCUAAACGAUGUCAACUAGCUGUUGGGGCCUCGGGCUCCUGGUAGCGCAGCUAACGCGGAAGUUGACCGCCUGGGAGUACGGUCGCAAGAUUAAAACUCAAAGGAAUUCGAUUGGGACUCGUACGCGGUGGAUGAUGUGAUUGUCUGACGCAACGCGAAAACCUUACCUACCUUUGACAUGUCUGGAAUCCCGAAGAGAUUUGGGAGGUGUCGUAAAGAGAACCGGAACACAGGUGCUCAUGGUUGCCGUCAGCUCGUGUCGUGAGAGCGGUUAGUUAAGUCCCGCAACGAGCGCAACCCUUGUCAUUAGUUGCUACGAAAGCGUACCACGAGACUGCUUGCGACAAACCGAGGAAGGUGGGGAUGACGUCAAGUCCUCAUGGCUCAUGGGUAGGGCUUCACGUCAUACAAUGGUCGGGACAGAGGGUCGCCAACCCGCGAGGGGAGCCAAUCCCAGAAACCCGAUCAGCCCGAUCGCAGUCUGCAACUCGGACUGCGAAGUCGGAAUCGCUAGUAAUCGCGAUCAGCAUGUCGCGGUGGAACAUGUCUGGUUCCUAGCACACCGCCCGUCACACCAUGGGAGGUUUUACCAGAAGUAGUUAGUCAACCGUAAGGAGGGCGAUUACCACGGUAGGAUUCAUGACUGGGUAAGCCGCACAAGGUAA